CAUGCCUUAAAUAAAUACCCAAUACAUUCAUGAUAUGUAGCAAUAUUGUGAGAGAAUAUUUAUAUAGGCUAAAUAAAUUUUUAUCAGUGAUAAAACGGGUUAAAAAAAUUUACAAACAUUUUUGACUCACCUGACACUGGCACACCCACAUAUGCACUU
Plasmodium yoelii yoelii 17XNL is the source of this 159-nucleotide small nucleolar RNA. It matches the Rfam family "small nucleolar RNA snoR26". The record is from Rfam. Lineage: Eukaryota; Apicomplexa; Aconoidasida; Haemosporida; Plasmodiidae.